This is a long non-coding RNA of Hibiscus syriacus, 1364 nucleotides long. RefSeq lists it as uncharacterized. Lineage: Eukaryota; Viridiplantae; Streptophyta; Magnoliopsida; Malvales; Malvaceae. The transcript has 6 exons. The record is from RefSeq and is a predicted model, not a curated record.
CAGGAAAGGAUUCUUUACUCUAAACCCUAAAUAUCGCUAGAAAAUUUUAGGCAAAAAAAAGAUUGGGGAAUAAGAUGUUGAAUUUCGAAGAACAGUGUAACAUAUUGAACUUGUUGAAAUCGUCAUCUGAGCAAAAAUCAAUCGAAGAAACAGUCAAUGAAUUCUUCAGCAAUUCCAAGCUCCGUCAUUUCAAUGUCUGCUAUUCUCUUUCUUUUUUAUUGCAGGUGAUACACUUGGUUCUUUUGUAUAUGUUCCAUGUGAAGUGAUUAAGCAACACAUGCAGGUUCAAGGCUCAGGAAACUCUUGGAAUUCGGCUAUCAUGAAUGACCAAUUGCGAAUGAAAUCUGGUGAACAAAUGUAUGGUUAUUACACUGGAAUGUUCCAAGUUGGAUGUUCAAUAUGGAAAGAAGUCAAGGUCGUCGAUUCUUGGUGAGCCGUUAUUACAAAAGGUUAAAGAGAGCUGCACUCGUCGCACAAUGUGCUUGGAGAGCAAAACUUGCGCGUAGAGAAUUACGCAAACUAAAAAUGGCUGCCCAGAAAACCGAAUCCCUGCUACAGGCCAACUGGAAAAGCAAGUUGAAGAACUUACAUGGCAGUUGCAGAAGUUGCAACGUGAGAAGGAAAAUUGGGGCACAAACAAAACUUUUGGACAAGUUCCUGUCACUCAAGGGGUCACGGUAGUUAACAACGAAACGAUGAAUAAACUUACUGCUGAAAAUGAACAGCUUAAGGCUCAGGUAGCUACACUAGAACAGAUUUGCGAAGUGCGGCUAAAGCAGGCUACAGAGGCUGAGAUGAGGAUAAUUGACUUAAAAACUGCGAUGCAAAGAAGACAAGAUUUCAGACAUGGAAACCGAGGAUAAGGUUUUGAGACAGCAAGCUUUGCUGAGUGCACCUAGUAGAAAAAUGUCAUCUCAAUUGUCAUUUACAACACCUGCAUUAAGCUAUGUUUAAACUCGAUGUUCAUAUCUUUCUUGAGUUGGUUUGUUGAUUGUGAUUAUUUUUCACUGCUUAUUUUUCUUUGUUGGUCCUUUAUUUCACUUUGCAGUCUGUGCAAAAUGCUCCUCAAGUAAGUGAAGAUUGAAUAGACUGGAUAAUUAACUCUACUUCAGUUGAAUUCUGGUCCAUCAAUUAGGUUCGGUAGAGAAGAUAGUAAAAUGAGGAGAUCCAAGACUGAAGUGCCACAAGUAUGAAUCCAGACGAUAUGGAACUCAUUUUUACAUUCCUACUUUUGUUUUCAAGAUUUUGUGGUGGAUGGAAUUUCCGGGGAUUAAUUUUUGAUGUAUGUAUCACCUAGACUAAAUUAUAGAGAACAAUGUCAAAUUACAUUACAUUUAAUUUUAAUGUUUAUAAAUUUUAAUCUA